AAACUAACAGUAAACAUAUGUACAGUUUUCCAUAAAAAAAUGCAUCAAAGUAAAGCAGUGAUACGCAAAUAAUUAAUCGAACAAGCCAGGAAGUUUCGUAUUUUCUUUUUUUAACCGUGAACAUACAUUUGAACUCAGAUUUAAGUUUCCGGCCAAAGACGUUUUAAAGAAUUUAAAAUUUUGCAUGGCUUCGCGUAUGACAGUGUCAGCCUUGCCUGUAUACGCGGAUGGAAUGUUCCAGUCGAGAAAUGUUUCCGACGCAAGAACAGAAUGUUCAAGACCGCCAUCACGAAGGUGUUUGUUUAAAGUCGAACCCAUUGACUUCAACCACGGACUCUAAACUGCUUUUUAAAGCGCAAUGCUCCAACAAAAAAAACGACAUCUCCGAUUCCACGGAAGAUAUUUUCAUCGGUCAUAAUCCAUUUGAAACAUUCCUUAUUAGAGGUAAAAAUGGACGGUCAUUAUUGAACACACGAUGUAGCAAACACUUGUACUGCUGUAUUAAAACUUCCACCGUUCCAAUAGCUAGGAAUCUAAACGCACCAACCACCAAAGACCGGAACCCUUCAAUUUCAACGGCUAGGCAGGACAGAUCAGUUGUGCGGGAACGAAUUUUGUGGACUACUUCCGGAAUUUUUUGAGUCACUCAAAGUGUAAAAUGUUGCCUGAAUGUAGUUAAAAUAUUCUAUCAUAUUUUUACUGCAACUUUAUAUCCCUUGUCUUCGUGCAAUGGCACAUCUUUAUACUCUUUUUGACUUAUUGCCGGAAAAGCUUCAGUAAACAAAGGAAAAAAUGAGGAAAUAAGGGAAAGAUUUUCAUCCAGGGAAAAGGCAUUUAAGGCGGCAAUAGAGGACGUUAUGCAGCUCUCGAAUCCAAUUACCAACUCGUACUUGUCCCAUGGCAACGUUAAGAAAUCUUGCAAAUGACUGCUCAAAAUGCCAAGCUUCUUUGCGAUAUCCGCAUAGGCCAUAGAGCAAUACCCUGGACAAAAAAGUUACGCUUGUAAUGGCGUUCACUUUACCUUGGACCUCAAUAGCUCUUGCUGUCUUUUCGCGCCGGACAUUGGUCAAUUCUUUUGACUUUUCCUGAUAGUAAGAAACUACUAUGGUCCAGUUUUUUAAAAAUGAAAUCCACACAUUACUUUCGUAUUGUGCCCAGCGAGUAGUGCAAAAAUUCUGCGAAGCGUACCAGCGCACUCCCAUCGUAGUGGCCAACUCUAAACCCUCCUCAUAACUUUCCCCCCAUUUGAAAUGCAAAGCAUGUUGUUGGAUUAUCCCGACAAUUCCGGUUUUGUGUUUAUUUUGGAGCCAGUGUGGCGCAUGUUUUUCGUGCCUAUCAAGUAAGUUCUAAACCGUGUCCCAAAUCCCAAUUGACCAUGCACCAUUCGUCCGAAACACCGAUUGCAUUUUCUCAGUGGCGUCCCAUUUUAAGCAAGGUUUCGCCAUCCACAGCUGCGGCUGUAACUUGCUGUCCUGCAUUAACCAUAAAGUUUUUUGAGACUUGGACGAUUUUAUUAACCAAGUCUUCACCAGUAAGUUCGGUCCCCAUGGUUGGUGCGUCUAAGAAAAUGUCACAGGAUAAAUGUUCCAAUACAUUAAUUGAAAUAGCAGUGUGUAUUCCUUUUCUGUUCGUUGGUCUGUUUGUAACUGCUAGGUAACGGCAAAUACCUUCUCUGUGGUUGCACACUUUUAUUAAAUCCAGUGAUGGGUGUCAACAAUGUUGAAGAGGAAGAAAAUACUGGAAAAUAGCUGUGGUCGUUUAUCGUUGGAUCUACCAAUGGGGCAUCAAGGUUGUAUUUUCUUGUAGUUUCCAUUUCACUUGUUGUUUUUUCUACUGUUGUUGUAAUUGCAAGAAUAUCUGCAUUAUUUGAUGGAUCUUGCAUACAGUUACCUCUUGUUUUUGUUUGCUAUCAACACUUUCGCUUAAUACAAAACUUGCUUUUUAUUCAUAU
Molecule: non-coding RNA, 1951 nt
Organism: Ciona intestinalis (vase tunicate)
Lineage: Eukaryota; Metazoa; Chordata; Ascidiacea; Phlebobranchia; Cionidae
Source: RefSeq, a predicted model, not a curated record